GAUGAACGCUGGCGGCGUGCCUAACACAUGCAAGUCGAGCGAGAAGCUUAUGAAUGAUCCUUCGGGUGAACGAUUAAGUGGAAAGCGGCGGACGGGUGAGUAACGCGUGGGUAACCUGCCCCAUACAAAGGGAUAGCCACUGGAAACGGUGAUUAAUACCAUAUAAAACUAUAGUGUCGCAUGACACAUUAGUCAAAGAUUUAUCGGUAUGGGAUGGACCCGCGUCUGAUUAGCUAGUUGGUAAGGUAACGGCUUACCAAGGCGACGAUCAGUAGCCGACCUGAGAGGGUGAUCGGCCACACUGGAACUGAGACACGGUCCAGACUCCUACGGGAGGCAGCAGUGGGGAAUAUUGCACAAUGGGCGCAAGCCUGAUGCAGCAACGCCGCGUGAGCGAUGAAGGCCUUCGGGUCGUAAAGCUCUGUCCUCAAGGAAGAAUAAAUGACGGUACUUGAGGAGGAAGCCCCGGCUAACUACG
This 478-nucleotide ribosomal RNA is filed under the name uncultured Fusibacter sp. Its description in RNAcentral is "bacterial SSU rRNA". It matches the Rfam family "Bacterial small subunit ribosomal RNA", at positions 28 to 505 of the family's 1533-position model. Lineage: Bacteria; Bacillati; Bacillota; Clostridia; Eubacteriales; Fusibacteraceae. The record is from RNAcentral.